Molecule: ribosomal RNA, 515 nt
Filed under: uncultured Glomus
Lineage: Eukaryota; Fungi; Glomeromycota; Glomeromycetes; Glomerales; Glomeraceae
Description: SSU rRNA
Rfam family: Eukaryotic small subunit ribosomal RNA
Source: RNAcentral
AGCAGCCGCGGUAAUUCCAGCUCCAAUAGCGUAUAUUAAAGUUGUUGCAGUUAAAAAGCUCGUAGUUGAAUUUCGGGAUCAGUUGGUCGGUCGUGCCUCGGUACGUACUGGUCAAAUUGAUUCCUACCUUCUGACGAACCACGAUGUCAUUAAUUUGGUGUCGUGGGGAAUCAGGACUGUUACUUUGAAAAAAUUAGAGUGUUUAAAGCAGGCUCGCGCUUGAAUACAUUAGCAUGGAAUAAUGAAAUAGGACGUUUGAUUCUAUUUUGUUGGUUUCUAGGAUCGACGUAAUGAUUAAUAGGGAUAGUUGGGGGCAUUAGUAUUCAAUUGUCAGAGGUGAAAUUCUUGGAUUUAUUGAAGACUAACUACUGCGAAAGCAUUUGCCAAGGAUGUUUUCAUUAAUCAAGAACGAAAGUUAGGGGAUCGAAGACGAUCAGGUACCGUCGUAGUCUUAACCAUAAACUAUGCCGACUAGGGAUCGGAUGAUGUUAAUUUUUAAUGACUCAUUCGGCGCC